GAAAAAUAGAAGCAAGAUAGCCUUACUAUUGGAUCUCUUUCCUUUAUGGAGUUGAAGACAGGUCUGAAAGAAGGGAUCUUGGUCAUGUCGAUUUGUAUGGUAACUAGAUCAUGGAAUGUGGCAUGGAAGACAUUAGUCAGGUCCUGGCAGGAAAGUGUAAUGUCUCCACAGCAGUAAAUGCAAAGACUUAAAUAAAAGGCAGGGUUCAGGAAAAUCACCAAGAGCUGGCAAAGCAUCCUAGAGUUAACAACAGCAGACAGCCAUUACUAGUCUUGGUAAAAAAAAAAAAAAAAAAAAAAAAAAAAACAUGGAAAGGGAGAAUCUACUGAAACCUUGUAAAAGUUUAGCUGAAGGAAAGAACCAUGUUUCCUAGUUGCACAGCCUCAGACAGAAGAUUGCAGCCACUGUUGAAGCAGCCUGUAGGGAGGGAGUAUAAACACCCAACCCUUCUCUCUUCCCUGCUUCAGUUGCCUGCUUCAGCUGCCUACCUUUGGAUUACCAAAUAAGCCCCGCAGAGCAGGAAUCCUAGGGUACAGCGGGUAAGAAGGGUGGAGAAUGGAUCUGGAAAGGCAAAAGGAGAAUAUCCAUUCAGCGGGGGAGGUCUUCAGAUUCAGACAAGUAGCCUCCCUGUGCACAGCACUCCUGUGGUCAUCUGCAGGGUUAACUGGGAUGCCUCACUUGCUAGGAUGCUAUUGCUUGUAGAUAGAACUCUGAAUCAGAUGUCAUGGAAGGGAAACCUGUGCAGAAGUGUUUUGCGUCAUGCACACAGCAUUUUCUUGAAAAAGAAAACUAACAAAAUCAAAACCCAAACUAAACAUCUAUAUUGACUUUGGGGAGAUUCACAUCAAAUUUCAUGCUUCUUUUGAGAAAAGGAAGAUUUCGCAGCACUGAGCAUGCAUUCCUCCUACCUGGAAACAAUGUGCUAAACUUCACAGGAGCUGCCCCUUUAGACACUGC
RNAcentral lists this long non-coding RNA (957 nucleotides) under Marmota monax (woodchuck). Lineage: Eukaryota; Metazoa; Chordata; Mammalia; Rodentia; Sciuridae. The record is from RNAcentral.